CUGACUGUUGGGAGCAUCCCAACAAUAAAAGAGAAGAGCAGGCAGCGUGUUUGUUGCCAUAAUGAGAUUGAAACUUCCUUCCCGUGGUGGAGCCAUGGAGAGUAAAGGUUUCAUAAACUAAUGGAAGUGACUGGAAGAGGAAUGGAGCCCAUAAAGAAAGCAGUAGUUCUGAACUAGAUAGAUGUUUCCAUAUUGAGCCCUUAAGUUGGGACCUCAAGGAACCAAGGAGCCAGCUGACUCCGUACAUUGGAAUUGUUCUUGAGAGAUUGGCUACUAAAUCAAGUACUUUGCAUGUGGAACUUCAGUGCUACCUACGUAAUGCUUCUAAAGAAGAUUCUUCAACGUUCUGGAUGAGCUAUUUGUCUAAUAACACAUCUGCAGCUGCAUAUCACAGCUUAAUCUCUUGUACUAACAACAUUUGGACUCGUCUCAAAAUGGGAAAGGGUACAGAAAAGAAGAGGAAGUACCUUCCAGGACAUCUAAAUAUUGCCUUUUGCCAUCAUAAUUAUAAGAGCUUCUGGUGGGGGAGGCGCUGGGCAGAAUGGGUAAGUAAAUGAUACCACUGAGUUUGGAUUAUGCCUGACCUUGGUUGAAUCAGUUGUUUUCCACAGACUAAACAAAAAUUUAGUCUUGAUUUAUUUGGCACUUUGAGAAUUUUUUUUUCUUAAAGCCUGGUAGCAAAAAUGGUCAAUCUUAGGAUAAAAUGUCCUCACAUAUCAGCAUAAACUCUACUUAGCAACCACUAAAACCUGAGAGUUAUUAACACUAUUCUCAUCUCAGUUCCAAAGCACAGCAUUGUACCAGGUACUUGGAAGAAAAUUAACUCUAUCCCAGUCACAAGGGCAUGAAGACAGAAGCUUAAGUCUAAAAUGCCACAGCAUACCUCUCAAGCUAAAUGGACAAUUCUACCUGCAAAUUAGCAGCAGAUAGAAUGAGAAAUCUUGUAGCUGAUUCAUAUGAUUCCAGACCUUAAUGUUGAUAUAUUAUUUUAUCAUCUCCCCUUUGCAUUAGUAUCAUGAUGCAAAAUGAAAUUCACAUCAUUUACUACAAAAAACUUUUAAAUCAGGCCUCUUCAGUAGCCCAGAGAGUUGUAUCUUUGAAGGACAGUAUCCACCAAAAUAUGCUUGAAAAGUCUCAGAUAAUGCAAAUUAUGGCACAACCUUUCAUUCUGAAUAGAAGCAAGGGGACAGGAAAAUGGGGUUAGUCUCCAACUGUGUGGAACAAGAUAAUGAGGUGAAAAACACCUCUUUUGUAUGAAACAAAAUGAG
This is a long non-coding RNA of Vidua macroura (Pin-tailed whydah), 1268 nucleotides long. RefSeq lists it as uncharacterized. The transcript has 4 exons. Lineage: Eukaryota; Metazoa; Chordata; Aves; Passeriformes; Viduidae. The record is from RefSeq and is a predicted model, not a curated record.